UACGUAGGGGGCGAGCGUUGUUCGGAAUCACUGGGCGUAAAGGGCGCGUAGGCGGCCCUCCUUGUCGCGUGUGAAAGCCCCGGGCUCAACCUGGGAACGGCGCGCGAGACGGGGGGGCUGGAGUUCGGGAGAGGAGCGUGGAAUUCCCAGUGUAGAGGUGAAAUUCGUAGAUAUUGGGAAGAACACCGGUGGCGAAGGCGGCGCUCUGGACCGAGACUGACGCUGAGGCGCGAAAGCGUGGGGAGCAAACAGG
RNAcentral lists this ribosomal RNA (253 nucleotides) under uncultured bacterium. Its description in RNAcentral is "partial 16S ribosomal RNA". It matches the Rfam family "Bacterial small subunit ribosomal RNA", at positions 524 to 776 of the family's 1533-position model. The record is from RNAcentral.